GACGAACGCUGGCGGCGUGCUUAACACAUGCAAGUCGAACGAAGCUUGAUCACGGAUUCUUCGGAAGAGGUGUGAUAUGACUUAGUGGCGGACGGGUGAGUAACGCGUGAGUAACCUGCCUUUCAGAGUGGAAUAACGUUUGGAAACGACCGCUAAUACCGCAUAACAUCAUUUUAUCGCAUGGUAGAAUGAUCAAAGAUUUAUCGCUGAAAGAUGGACUCGCGUCUGAUUAGCUAGUUGGUGAGGUAACGGCUCACCAAGGCGACGAUCAGUAGCCGGUCUGAGAGGAUGAACGGCCACAUUGGGACUGAGAUACGGCCCAG
RNAcentral lists this ribosomal RNA (323 nucleotides) under uncultured bacterium. Its description in RNAcentral is "bacterial SSU rRNA". It matches the Rfam family "Bacterial small subunit ribosomal RNA", at positions 28 to 334 of the family's 1533-position model. The record is from RNAcentral.